GAAAAUCCGUCGACUUUAAAAAUCG
Molecule: transfer RNA, 25 nt
Filed under: Cynoglossum officinale
Lineage: Eukaryota; Viridiplantae; Streptophyta; Magnoliopsida; Boraginales; Boraginaceae
Description: partial tRNA-Leu
Source: RNAcentral